This 257-nucleotide ribosomal RNA is filed under the name uncultured bacterium. RNAcentral describes it as "partial 16S ribosomal RNA". It matches the Rfam family "Bacterial small subunit ribosomal RNA", at positions 30 to 286 of the family's 1533-position model. The record is from RNAcentral.
AUUGAACGCUGGCGGCAUGCCUUACACAUGCAAGUCGAACGGCAGCACGGGAGCAAUCCUGGUGGCGAGUGGCGAACGGGUGAGUAAUAUAUCGGAACGUGCCCGGUCGUGGGGGAUAACGUAGCGAAAGCUACGCUAAUACCGNAUACGAUCUACGGAUGAAAGCGGGGGAUCGCAAGACCUCGCGCGAUUGGAGCGGCCGAUAUCAGAUUAGGUAGUUGGUGAGGUAAAGGCGUCACCAAGCCGACGAUCUGUAG